Molecule: ribosomal RNA, 253 nt
Filed under: uncultured bacterium
Lineage: Bacteria
Description: partial 16S ribosomal RNA
Rfam family: Bacterial small subunit ribosomal RNA
Source: RNAcentral
UACGUAGGGGGCAAGCGUUGUCCGGAUUUAUUGGGCGUAAAGAGCGUGUAGGCGGCCAGAUAGGUCCGUUGUGAAAACUGGAGGCUUAACCUCCAGCGGUCGAUGGAAACCAUUUGGCUAGAGUCCGGAAGAGGAGAGUGGAAUUCCCGGUGUAGUGGUGAAAUGCGUAGAUAUCGGGAGGAACACCAGUGGCGAAGGCGACUUCCUGGCCUGUUCUUGACGCUGAGGCGCGAAAGCUAGGGGAGCAAACGGG